RNAcentral lists this ribosomal RNA (2503 nucleotides) under Salmonella enterica. Its description in RNAcentral is "bacterial LSU rRNA". It matches the Rfam family "Bacterial large subunit ribosomal RNA", at positions 530 to 2925 of the family's 2925-position model. Lineage: Bacteria; Pseudomonadati; Pseudomonadota; Gammaproteobacteria; Enterobacterales; Enterobacteriaceae. The record is from RNAcentral.
CGAGGGGAGUGAAAAAGAACCUGAAACCGUGUACGUACAAGCAGUGGGAGCACAGGUUUACCUGUGUGACUGCGUACCUUUUGUAUAAUGGGUCAGCGACUUAUAUUCUGUAGCAAGGUUAACCGUAUAGGGGAGCCGGAGGGAAACCGAGUCUUAACCGGGCGUUAAGUUGCAGGGUAUAGACCCGAAACCCGGUGAUCUAGCCAUGGGCAGGUUGAAGGUUGGGUAACACUAACUGGAGGACCGAACCGACUAAUGUUGAAAAAUUAGCGGAUGACCUGUGGCUGGGGGUGAAAGGCCAAUCAAACCGGGAGAUAGCUGGUUCUCCCCGAAAGCUAUUUAGGUAGCGCCUCGUGAAUUCAUCUCCGGGGGUAGAGCACUGUUUCGGCUAGGGGGCCAUCCCGGCUUACCAACCCGAUGCAAACUGCGAAUACCGGAGAAUGUUAUCACGGGAGACACACGGCGGGUGCUAACGUCCGUCGUGAAGAGGGAAACAACCCAGACCGCCAGCUAAGGUCCCAAAGUCAUGGUUAAGUGGGAAACGAUGUGGGAAGGCCCAGACAGCCAGGAUGUUGGCUUAGAAGCAGCCAUCAUUUAAAGAAAGCGUAAUAGCUCACUGGUCGAGUCGGCCUGCGCGGAAGAUGUAACGGGGCUAAACCAUGCACCGAAGCUGCGGCAGCGAACGUAUCACCCAAGACAACUUUACGGAGUUGACGAUUGACGGAGCGAAGCGACGUCAAAGCGUUCAUUAAAGUCGAGUUGGCUUAGGGAUACGUUCGUUGGGUAGGGGAGCGUUCUGUAAGCCUGUGAAGGUGUGUCGUGAGGCAUGCUGGAGGUAUCAGAAGUGCGAAUGCUGACAUAAGUAACGAUAAAGCGGGUGAAAAGCCCGCUCGCCGGAAGACCAAGGGUUCCUGUCCAACGUUAAUCGGGGCAGGGUGAGUCGACCCCUAAGGCGAGGCCGAAAGGCGUAGUCGAUGGGAAACGGGUUAAUAUUCCCGUACUUGGUGUUACUGCGAAGGGGGGACGGAGAAGGCUAUGUUGGCCGGGCGACGGUUGUCCCGGUUUAAGCGUGUAGGUGUGUGUUCCAGGUAAAUCCGGUUCACUUUAACACUGAGGCGUGACGACGAGGCACUACGGUGCUGAAGCAACAAAUGCCCUGCUUCCAGGAAAAGCCUCUAAGCAUCAGGUAACAUCAAAUCGUACCCCAAACCGACACAGGUGGUCAGGUAGAGAAUACCAAGGCGCUUGAGAGAACUCGGGUGAAGGAACUAGGCAAAAUGGUGCCGUAACUUCGGGAGAAGGCACGCUGACACGUAGGUGAAGUGAUUUACUCAUGGAGCUGAAGUCAGUCGAAGAUACCAGCUGGCUGCAACUGUUUAUUAAAAACACAGCACUGUGCAAACACGAAAGUGGACGUAUACGGUGUGACGCCUGCCCGGUGCCGGAAGGUUAAUUGAUGGGGUCAGCGCAAGCGAAGCUCCUGAUCGAAGCCCCGGUAAACGGCGGCCGUAACUAUAACGGUCCUAAGGUAGCGAAAUUCCUUGUCGGGUAAGUUCCGACCUGCACGAAUGGCGUAAUGAUGGCCAGGCUGUCUCCACCCGAGACUCAGUGAAAUUGAACUCGCUGUGAAGAUGCAGUGUACCCGCGGCAAGACGGAAAGACCCCGUGAACCUUUACUAUAGCUUGACACUGAACAUUGAGCCUUGAUGUGUAGGAUAGGUGGGAGGCUUUGAAGUGUGGACGCCAGUCUGCAUGGAGCCGACCUUGAAAUACCACCCUUUAAUGUUUGAUGUUCUAACGUGGACCCGUAAUCCGGGUUGCGGACAGUGUCUGGUGGGUAGUUUGACUGGGGCGGUCUCCUCCUAAAGAGUAACGGAGGAGCACGAAGGUUGGCUAAUCCUGGUCGGACAUCAGGAGGUUAGUGCAAUGGCAUAAGCCAGCUUGACUGCGAGCGUGACGGCGCGAGCAGGUGCGAAAGCAGGUCAUAGUGAUCCGGUGGUUCUGAAUGGAAGGGCCAUCGCUCAACGGAUAAAAGGUACUCCGGGGAUAACAGGCUGAUACCGCCCAAGAGUUCAUAUCGACGGCGGUGUUUGGCACCUCGAUGUCGGCUCAUCACAUCCUGGGGCUGAAGUAGGUCCCAAGGGUAUGGCUGUUCGCCAUUUAAAGUGGUACGCGAGCUGGGUUUAGAACGUCGUGAGACAGUUCGGUCCCUAUCUGCCGUGGGCGCUGGAGAACUGAGGGGGGCUGCUCCUAGUACGAGAGGACCGGAGUGGACGCAUCACUGGUGUUCGGGUUGUCAUGCCAAUGGCACUGCCCGGUAGCUAAAUGCGGAAGAGAUAAGUGCUGAAAGCAUCUAAGCACGAAACUUGCCCCGAGAUGAGUUCUCCCUGAGACUUAGAGUCUCCUGAAGGAACGUUGAAGACGACGACGUUGAUAGGCCGGGUGUGUAAGCGCAGCGAUGCGUUGAGCUAACCGGUACUAAUGAACCGUGAGGCUUAACCUU